UGACUCCAUUUUACCUAUUGCUAUUUGGUCCAUUGUUUCCAACAUAGGCCCUGAGAGAGGGUGAUUGAGUAAGACCAUAUGGAGCAAUUGUCUGUUUUUGAUUUCCAUUCUUCUGCUGCAUUUUUCUUCUAGCAAUGUAACCUCUGAUCCACGGGGUUACAUCUUCGUUGAUCUUGAUCAUGAUAAAGAAGAUAAUACGAUAGGUGAUUAUCAUCACGAAGAUCACACUCACGUCUAUCCAUUUUGAUCUGUUCAGAUCAAUUUGGAAUAUCUGCUCCAGUAUGAAUUCACCUGGGAUUUUGGGGAGAUCAGGACUCGAGUUAUCAAACUCCAAUCCCAUCAAAUCGUUUUGAUAUUGCCCCUGUAGUGCCCAGAAAUGGAAACUGAGGUAAGACAUAGGGUAACGCCAGAAAGGCUUUGGGAUGUCGUUGGGGAGUCGAAAGUAUCCAGAGACUAACAUAAAUAUUCCCUGGAUUCCAGCACCUAUAAUGAUACCCAUGAGGAAAUUAGGGACAACACUAGCUAUGACCAUCAUCAAGCUUUCGACAACAGUGACACUGGCGUAGAGGCAUAUUACAAAGAAUAAAUAGUGCGUGAAGCCCGGGUGUAACCG
Molecule: unclassified non-coding RNA, 613 nt
Filed under: Hevea brasiliensis (rubber tree)
Lineage: Eukaryota; Viridiplantae; Streptophyta; Magnoliopsida; Malpighiales; Euphorbiaceae
Source: RNAcentral